RNAcentral lists this long non-coding RNA (1194 nucleotides) under Monodelphis domestica (gray short-tailed opossum). Its description in RNAcentral is "lncRNA (ENSMODG00000041748.1)". Lineage: Eukaryota; Metazoa; Chordata; Mammalia; Didelphimorphia; Didelphidae. The record is from RNAcentral.
AUGAAGCAGUACCACCCACCAGCUAAAUACAAAGAGCUGGAUUUGGGUUUAAAAUAUAGAAGCAAAAGAAGAGACCUAUUUGGAAGCCGGCAUGGACAAUCUGAUAGAGAAAAAAAAAGUAAGAAAAUGCAUUUUUCUCUAACUAAAUCCCAUAGUAACAUUUGUUUGGCUCUGAUUUAUAGCUUGACUUAUUGACAUGCACAUUCUAGGGACAUACUGAAGCCCACAGUUCUCAGGAGAGCUUUAGAGAAAUUCUUGUUUUCUUCUGGUUCCAGUGAGUCCUUGUCCCUUGUAGGUGGUUUUGCACUGGCUUGGCAAAGCCAAGAAGAAGAAGAAAAAAAACAACAAAAACAAUGAUCCCAAACAGAUGUGACUCUCUCCUGUUUUUAGCAAUGCAUGGAAAAGGGAAUUUGACAAACAUGCCUUUGAUAGGAUUGAGCAAUGCCCUGUCAUAAGCUUUUUCUUUGUGUGUCCUCUAAAUUCCUUUUUCUGAAGUUUGAGCUCAUUGCUUCAUGCCUUGGCCCUGAUGAUUGGUGAUGGAGGAGAAUGAAGUGGUUUCUUGGACCAUCAUAAGCUGCUUGGGCACACAACUUUUAGGACACAAUCCCUAUUUAUGGGGCCAAGACCUUUAGCCAUUUUCUGACGACCUCUGAGAAUGUUAAAUGUGAGGGGACAUUAUAAAGAUAUUAUUAUUAAGAUUAUUAGAGAUUAUCAAGUCCAGUUCCCCCAUUUUAUCAUUGAGGAAACUGAGUCUACUUCUUAAUUAUAUUAAGAGGUUUUUCCUGGAAUCACAUAGCAAAUUCAUAGCAGAACCAAGGUUAGGAACCAGGUCUUGAACAUUCUUUCACUUCUCCAUCUUAACCACAUGUGAAGGCUUUGGUUUCCUCCAUUAGCAUGGAUAAUUGAAAGUUGAUCUUCCUUUAAUUUCCCUGUCAUGGUACAAUAGUGACAAUAUUCUAUCUAGAAAAAGAAGAUCCAAAUUCAAUACCAGCUCCAGUGUUAACCAAGUAUCUUUAGGGAAACUGUUUCCUCAUUAGUAAGAUUAUGUUAGGCUAGAUGUCCUUCAGAAUUAUAUCUUUUUUUCUUCUUAAUCUUGCAAAAACACUUCUAUAUUGGUCAUUGUUGUAAAAACACAUCCAUACAAAACCAAAAUCCCAAAAUAAAACCAUAAAUGCACUGAUAUGAAAUAUAGUA